AAGGAUCAUUACCUGGCCUUGGGCCGCUCGCGGGAGCUAGUCGCUUGCGAUGAUGCUGCCGGGAGUGCUUAGCCCUUGAUUAUCACCUUGAUUAUAUGCACCUUUUGUUGUUUCCUCGGCAGGUCUCCUGCCGCCAGGAACCCCAUAAACUCUUUUGUAUUAGCAUUUACACUUCUGAAAACAAACUAAAUUAUUUACAACUUUUAACAAUGGAUCUCUUGGUUCUG
RNAcentral lists this unclassified non-coding RNA (227 nucleotides) under uncultured fungus. Its description in RNAcentral is "partial contains 18S rRNA, ITS1, 5.8S rRNA, ITS2 and 28S rRNA". The record is from RNAcentral. Lineage: Eukaryota; Fungi.